GUGGGGGACAACCGUUGGAGANGACGGCAUAAUACCGCAUACGCUCUACGGAGGAAAGGGGGCUUCGGCUCUCGCUAUCGGAUGUGCCUGCGUGAGAUUAGCUAGUUGGUGGGGUAAAAGCCUACCAAGGCGACGAUCUCUAGCUGGUCUGAGAGGAUGAUCANCCNCACUGGGACUGAGACACGGCCCANACUCCUACGGGAGGCAGCAGUGGGGAAUAU
RNAcentral lists this ribosomal RNA (221 nucleotides) under uncultured bacterium. Its description in RNAcentral is "partial 16S ribosomal RNA". It matches the Rfam family "Bacterial small subunit ribosomal RNA", at positions 136 to 364 of the family's 1533-position model. The record is from RNAcentral.